UUUCCGUAGGUGAACCUGCGGAAGGAUCAUUAUUGUAUAACCGAGGUGCGAGGGCUGUCGCUGACCCGAAAGAUCGUGCACGCCCGAGUGCCCUCACACACAUCCAUCUCACCCCUAAGUGCACCACCGCGUGGGUCCCCCUUUGGCUUGUUCGGAGGGGGGCUUACGUUUUCACACAAACUUUGUAUGCAGUGUAGAAUGUAUUUUUUGUUUUUGCGAUCACGCAAUCAAUACAACUUUCAACAACGGAUCUCUUGGCUCUC
This 263-nucleotide unclassified non-coding RNA is filed under the name plant metagenome. RNAcentral's name for it is "partial contains small subunit ribosomal RNA, internal transcribed spacer 1, and 5.8S ribosomal RNA". The record is from RNAcentral.